This 647-nucleotide long non-coding RNA is filed under the name Drosophila melanogaster (fruit fly). RNAcentral describes it as "antisense RNA:CR46452 (Dmel_CR46452)". The record is from RNAcentral. Lineage: Eukaryota; Metazoa; Arthropoda; Insecta; Diptera; Drosophilidae.
CUUGGCAAUGUUUCCAUCUUCUCGGGCUAUCUUGUUGUACGAAUUGACCAGCUCACGUAUGGAGUAGGGCUCGUUAAAGUCGAUGCGCAUGAGGCCGUAGUUUGAUUUCAGGGCCUUCCAAAUGCCCGAAAUGGCCUUGCCGAAUGAUUCGGGUAUCUUCUUCUCGCCCUUUUGUUCGCGCACAAAGUUUCCGUCGACGAGACGCUCGUAGUUUACGGAAACGGGUACCAGCAGUGCGUCCGGUAUGCUGCCGUCCAUGAAGGCGUUCACAAUCACAGAAAGAAUGCCGCCCUUGGGCAUGCACGGCUUGCCAGUGCGCGUUCGUCCGCCCUCGAUGAAGAACUCGACGUUGUGGCCCUGCUUCAAGGCGUGGGUCAGAUACAGGUGUAGAGCAGCGCGAUAAAGCACGUCCUUCUUGCCCUCCACAGGAUCAAUCUUGCGUUUGAUGAAGAAAGCACCCAAACCACGUAGGAGCCCACCAAAGACCGGAAUUUGCAGGUUGUUGCCAGCGGCUACCAGAGGACUGCGUAUAUCGUUGUUCGAAAUCGACGGCCGAUAAGUCCUUCUCAGCUUUCAGGAUUGUUAUCGAUUGGCAGGAUGAUGUGGCAACGCCACGAGUAUUUAAUUUAAAAUAGUGCAAACUUUUA